This 73-nucleotide transfer RNA is filed under the name Desulfocurvibacter africanus subsp. africanus str. Walvis Bay. RNAcentral describes it as "Desulfovibrio africanus str. Walvis Bay tRNA". It matches the Rfam family "tRNA". Rfam says of the family: Transfer RNA (tRNA) molecules are approximately 80 nucleotides in length. Their secondary structure includes four short double-helical elements and three loops (D, anti-codon, and T loops). The record is from Rfam by way of RNAcentral. Lineage: Bacteria; Pseudomonadati; Thermodesulfobacteriota; Desulfovibrionia; Desulfovibrionales; Desulfovibrionaceae.
GGGCCAAUAGCUCAGUUGGCAGAGCCCCCGGCUCAUAACCGGAUUGUCGGAGGUUCAAAUCCUCCUUGGCCCA